Molecule: ribosomal RNA, 288 nt
Filed under: Gammaproteobacteria bacterium
Lineage: Bacteria; Pseudomonadati; Pseudomonadota; Gammaproteobacteria
Description: partial 23S ribosomal RNA
Rfam family: Bacterial large subunit ribosomal RNA
Source: RNAcentral
UCUGCCGUGGGCGUCGGAGACUUGAGGGGAGCUGCUCCUAGUACGAGAGGACCGAAGUGGACGUACCUCUGGUGUUCCAGUUAUCAUGCCAAUGGUAUUGCUGGGUAGCUAUGUACGGACGGGAUAACCGCUGAAAGCAUCUAAGCGGGAAGCCUCCCUCAAGAUAAGGUCUCCCCGGGGCUUUGCCCCCUGAAGGGCCGUUGAAGACCACAACGUUGAUAGGCUGGAUGUGGAAGUGCAGUAAUGUAUUUAGCUAACCAGUACUAAUUGCCCGUGAGGCUUGAUCAU